GACGAACGCUGGCGGCGUGCUUAACACAUGCAAGUCGAACGGAAAGGCCCUGCUUUUGUGGGGUGCUCGAGUGGCGAACGGGUGAGUAACACGUGAGUAACCUGCCCUUGACUUUGGGAUAACUUCAGGAAACUGGGGCUAAUACCGGAUACGAGCUCCUGCUGCAUGGUGGGGUUUGGAAAGUUUCGGCGGUUGGGGAUGGACUCGCGGCUUAUCAGCUUGUUGGUGGGGUAGUGGCUUACCAAGGCUUUGACGGGUAGCCGGCCUGAGAGGGUGACCGGCCACAUUGGGACUGCGAUACGGCCCAGACUCCUACGGGAGGCAGCAGUGGGGAAUAUUGCACAAUGGGCGGAAGCCUGAUGCAGCAACGCCGCGUGCGGGAUGAAGGCUUUCGGGUUGUAAACCGCUUUCGCCUGUGACGAAGCGUGAGUGACGGUAAUGGGUAAAGAAGCACCGGCUAACUACGUG
Molecule: ribosomal RNA, 468 nt
Filed under: uncultured bacterium
Lineage: Bacteria
Description: partial 16S ribosomal RNA
Rfam family: Bacterial small subunit ribosomal RNA
Source: RNAcentral